CAGAGGCCCCGAGCGUUAAUCGGAAUUACUGGGCUUAAAGGGUGCGUAGGCGGACCCGAAAGUGCUUUGUGAAAGCCCCCGGCUCAACCGGGGAACGUGCGGGGCGAUACUGCUGGUCUUGAGGCAGGUAAGGGUUGCGAGAACUGUAGGUGGAGCGGUGAAAUGCGUAGAUAUCUACAGGAAUGCCGAUGGUGAAGACGCGCAACUGGGCCUGUCCUGACGCUGAGGCACGAAAGCGUGGGGAGCAAACAGGAUUAGAUACCCUGGUAGUCCACGCCGUAAACAAUGCACGCUAGAUCGGGGUGGCUCUGACGCCGGCUCGGUCGAAGCAAAAGCGAUAAGCGUGCCGCCUGGGGAGUACGGUCGCAAGGCUAA
RNAcentral lists this ribosomal RNA (375 nucleotides) under uncultured organism. RNAcentral describes it as "bacterial SSU rRNA". It matches the Rfam family "Bacterial small subunit ribosomal RNA", at positions 526 to 897 of the family's 1533-position model. The record is from RNAcentral.